GCAAACUUGGUCAUUUAGAGGAAGUAAAAGUCGUAACAAGGUCUCCGUAGGUGAACCUGCGGAGGGAUCAUUACCGAGUUUACAACUCCUAAACCACUGUGAACGUACCUGUUGUUCCUUUGGCAGGCGGCCCCUGGGAGGGGCUGUAGCCUCACGGCGCCUGCCACUGGUAUAAACUCCUGCGUAUUUGAAACUCUGAGCUUCUAUAAAAUAGAAUCAAAACUUUCAACAACGGAUCUCUUGGUUCUGGCAUCGAUGAAGAACGCAGC
RNAcentral lists this unclassified non-coding RNA (269 nucleotides) under uncultured fungus. Its description in RNAcentral is "partial contains small subunit ribosomal RNA, internal transcribed spacer 1, and 5.8S ribosomal RNA". The stretch from base 1 to 73 matches the Rfam family "Eukaryotic small subunit ribosomal RNA", at positions 1759 to 1831 of the family's 1831-position model. Lineage: Eukaryota; Fungi. The record is from RNAcentral.